This 207-nucleotide ribosomal RNA is filed under the name uncultured bacterium. RNAcentral describes it as "partial 16S ribosomal RNA". It matches the Rfam family "Bacterial small subunit ribosomal RNA", at positions 568 to 774 of the family's 1533-position model. The record is from RNAcentral.
CGCGUAGGCGGUUCGGCAAGUCGGGUGUGAAAGCCCUCGGCUCAACCGAGGAACUGCAUCCGAUACUGCCGGGCUAGAGUGCGGGAGGGGAGAGUGGAACUCCUGGUGGAGCGGUGAAAUGCGUAGAUAUCAGGAGGAACGCCGGUGGCGAAAGCGACUCUCUGGUCCGCAACUGACGCUGAGGCGCGAAAGCCAGGGGAGCGAACG